GAUUGCUGGCCAUUAGAUUAGGCCGCAAAGAAACAGCUGUACAUUACUUGUCUCUGGUAAAAUUCCGCACGCGUUGCGGCAUUAAUCAUACGCAGCGUUGGCCACUAGACGAGCGCUUGACACGACAUCAGCCCAGAAACUUGGCCAUCCCCCCAGCAGAUACUGCAAGCCUGUGCCCAGUAGGUCAACAGAGUGUGCACACACACUUGACACACUCGCAGGGGGUUGGAUUUCCCAUCGCCACUCUGUGAAGGGUGCCUUCGGGCCACCUACAUACAACCACUGCGUCACAACCGCCGAAGAGCAACAACAAGUAUGGCAAACACGAAGGCAAAAAGAAGGCAAAAUCAGCAGCGUAAACAGUUGUCAUCGCCCACUGACGAGUCUUGUUGAGCGGCCAAUCAAUCGAUCAAUGACUAACGAUCUGUUGCCACAUCUACCCCGCACUGGAUACCUUUUCAGUUUUCGCCAUAAACAAAUGUACAAUGUGCAGUAGCGACAGAAUGUCUUCGCAAGUCGACUGUUAUUGCAAAACGAUCAGCUGGUUAUCAGCCAGUUGUUUGGGCCAAAUGUUUACUCCACCUAAGCAACCGUUAGUCACCAGCGCCAUAAGCAUUUUCUUUAGAAUCACGAAGUGACCCACGCGCACAGCUGUGGUCAACAUAAUAGGGUUGUAUAAAAUAGAUUACCCAAGAACAAUAUAAAAACUUUAAAAUGCAAACCAUUUAAUAAAUAUAAAUAAAUUUAAUUUGAGAACAAAGUUCGUCAGAAUAUAGGUCAGAGUCAUUAAUAAUGAUAACGUAAAUAACUUAAUGAAUCAUCGGUUGCAUAAAGCUUUAGCCAAAAUAUUUUUUAUUGAAGUAUUGUUAAAAAUAUGUUUUUGAUGGGGCACAAUUGGUAUAUGUUAUUAGAAUUAUUCUGUAUCGUUUCUGAAUCCAUUUUGCUGAUUUAGGAUUUCUUUAAACAUUUCUCAAUUGUUUCAUUAUUAGUAUAUUAACCUCAAUUGUAGAUCUGGCAGAAUGUGCAUGCUCGUGUAUGAAUGUAUAUAAUCAGACGGCCGGCGGCGGCACGCCCACCUAUCUUUAUCCGUUAGAUUUAUUUUCCAAAUACUUUUUCGUUGUUUGGGCGAACCACUGCGUCGCCAGGGCAUAUAAAAUGGAAAUAAUUCAUAAUUAAAUAUUGCACAUCUCUGUAUAGAUAUGAGCAAAGUGAAUUGUAUACGUUUAUAUCUGAUUAUAAAUAUACAUGCGAUUUUUGUUGUUAUAAUUGCCAUGUAGAUACACGAGCGAAAUGCAAUGCCAGGCAUUUAUGCAUUUCAGACGUUUUUCUCGGAACUCGCAUUUCAAAUAUUGCAGCUUAUGGAUAAAUGGAGUAUCUCACACACAAUUCUUUAGAAUUUUGAUCUGCUCCUUUUAUGGCCUCAUGAAUGAAACGUAAGCCGUCAAAACAAAUCGCAUUGAAUGAGUCAAUCAAAAGCAAUUGUGUAUCUAGCUAAAUGUGCUGAAAUCGAAGAACCCCCGAUUCUCAUAACAAAGUGAAACAAAUAUAAGUUUCAAAUUUGGUAUUUCAAUGUGAUUCUCUAGCAAUAUGACUCUCUAAUUGUAAACAAAAUAAGGAUUGGUUUUCGAUUGUAAU
Molecule: long non-coding RNA, 1635 nt
Organism: Drosophila sechellia
Lineage: Eukaryota; Metazoa; Arthropoda; Insecta; Diptera; Drosophilidae
Exons: 3
Source: RefSeq, a predicted model, not a curated record